This is a non-coding RNA of Xyrichtys novacula (pearly razorfish), 12658 nucleotides long. NCBI's taxonomy places the organism in Eukaryota, Metazoa, Chordata, Actinopteri, Labriformes, Labridae. The record is from the annotation of a GenBank genome assembly.
GGAAACAUAAAACCUUCCCUGUGCUGAACUUUUAGACUUGCGUCAUUAAAUGAAAAAAAACAAUCACUUCCAUAAACACAGCUGAAGUUAUUUUGUUUCAUCUUGGGGCCAAAGCAGACGCUCUGCAGAACUUACUCGAAGGAUGACUCAACAGAAAAUGUGGGACCAGUUUUCUCAGCUGUCCAGAAUUUUCUGGUUAAACUGGGAGCUGAACUGGCAGCGCUCCACUCACAAGCCUGUUUUUUUCUUCUUACCUCCAGGCGCUCUGCAGCUUCAGCAGAUGAUCUGAAGAGGCCUCUGACACCAAGGUAGGAGUGAGCUGUCCAAAAAGGAACCACUUCCACACAUGCACACACACAAACACACACACAAGACUAAUGUUAUUGGCUGUUUACACACGCUCACUGAUUGGUGGAGUCCGGUAUGCAAGGCUCAUGGAGGCCACCUCAUUAUCUCUGCAGACAUUCACUUUGCUGUCAUCUGAUAUCAAAACACAGCACGCACUGCGACAGAGCUGUCUGAGACGGACACACAGCUAAUCAAUUUCUGCUCCGUGGCCAAUGCUGGACACUCAGGGGGGUCUUUUCUCCCCCCCUGAAAUCCUGCUGCUCGUUAUAGCGACGGCCGAUAAGAGGGAGAAUGAUCGAGAGCGUGCGGAGACAGAGAUGACCCUCACUGCUGCCUGGAUAAUUUAGGAAAGGUUAUGGAAUCAAUGUCUGGCCAUCAGUCUCUGGCUCUAAAUCACGACUGCUGGCUUUGCAUGGGUGCAUUCCAAUAAAAUCUGAUUAUAGGCACUGCGGCUGCAAUUAAAAAUCAGAUGACAUCUCGGUGCUGUGCCCAGCUUGCUGCUCUAGCCAGCCAGGAUCCUGCGGGGGGCUGUAAUCGACAGCAGAAAAACGUCUUUCUCAUCGGGAACAGUUGAUGUCAUUGUCAUAACUCGAAUUUGAUCAUUCUGGAAAUACCCUGAUUUUUCAUGUAUCGUAUUUUUGAAUUGCAGUACCACCAGAAAUCAGAAGGGGCAGCAUUGAGCAGCUAAGCCAACAGUUUAAAGGGAUAUUCCGGCGUAAAAUUAAUUUAGGGUCAAACACCGAGUUAGACACCCCCUCCAGAGAUGAAUGUUGCCGACCGCUUGCUUCUCUAGUUAUACCAACUUUAGUAACGACCGCAGGAUAGCAAUACACAGCAGUCCCAGAUCAACCAAAACGCCACUCUAUAGCCACAAAUAAUGCUCAGAACAGCACCUAACUUCAUCAACAGGACAUAUAGGGUCACAGCCAUAGCACUAGCCACCAAACAUCUUUUUAACUUUAAUUUCUUUAGCAAAGAGACUAAACACAACUCACCUACUCUCUUCCAGCAGCCGCUUGUUUGAAGUGAGAUCUCAGGUCAGUCCAUUACAGUGGGGUGCCACAGCUCAAGGAAGAACAUUUAUGAUCAUUUCUUUAUGGAAAUACAAUCAGAGCAAGACGCUAAGGCAGAGGAACGACCACGUCUGCAGUGCAAAAUGAUUAAUAUGGUGAUUAUUACUUCAAGGAAAUGAUAAAGAAAUGAUCAUGAAUGUUCUUCCUUGAGCUGCGGCACCCCGCUGUAGUCUGUAAUGGACUGAAAUGAGGUCUCACUACAAACAAGCGGCUGCUGGAAGAGAGUAGGUGAGUUGUGUUUAGUCUUUUUGCUAAAGAAAUGAGUCAAAGUUAAAAAGAUGUUUGGUGUCUAGUACUAUGGCUGUGACCCUAUAUGUCCUGUUGAUGAAGUUAGGUGCUGUUCUGAACAUUAUUUGUGGCUAUAGAGUGGCGUUUUGGUCGAGGUUUGUUUAUGGCUCCUCUGACCGCUCUGUAUUUCUAUCCUGCGGUCGUUACUAAAGUUGGUAUAACUAGAGAAUCAAGCGGUCGGCAACAUUCAUCUCUCGAUGGGUUGUCUGACUCGGUGUUAGAGUGUGUUUGACCCUAAAUUUAUUUUACACCGGAAUAUCCCUUUAAGCGAAAAAAAAAGGUGAAACUUCAUAAGAGAGGAUGUAAUGUUACCAUCCCUAAAUGCACGGACAGACAACAACAAUUUAAAUGUAGGAGACAGGAUUCUUCAGGCGCCCCCUAGUGGACAUAUUUCUUAACAUCCACCUCAAUGUAAAGGAGUAUCUAUAAAACAUAUGCAUCAGCUCAUAGCGCUCUGUGAAUUGAUUUAUUAAUGAACAAAAAGAACAAUAAGAGAGAACUCGGCAGACGUUGGCGCAGCUGUCAUCUAAUUUUUCAUAUCUGUGCGUGUCUGCUUCAAACCCACACAAGAAUCUGUUCCCACCUGAGGGAGCUUUGCUGCUUUAUUGGUAAGUCAGAGAUAUGAGGUCUAACCUUCCAAAAAUUCACAGGGAAGGACUUUUUCUGAGCCUGGAGCAGUUUCAAGGACGCAAAACUUCAUACUGCUGUGAAAAACAAAUCUUUCUCAAUCUUCAAACGUGUCUGUUCUUGAGCUUUUUUCUAACCUUGAUUGUCGCUGCUGCUUCUCCAAUUCAAAGUGUACUUGUAAGGAGUUAGGGUUGCUUGAGGUCUCUGCAAAUAUAUUUCUGAAAGAUGCAAGAAAGCAAGAAAGAAAGACUAAAAAUCAACAUCCUCAAAGACUCACUCUGAUGAAAAUCAUGUUUUUCUUGUUGUCUACAUGUUCAUGUGUCAGGAAAUAUCAUCAGAAAACUAAGUGUGAAAUUGCAUUUCUGGGUAUUUCUGAUUUCAAAUUGCUAUGAAUCUCUGACAGACUGAAACGGCAGGUUCAGAUAAAAUGAGAUUUCAUACCUCACAACUCCAAGCUCCGCCCCCAGAGCCCCGCUAUUCAAGAAGUAGAGUGGACAAUCGCGGAACAAGCGUGCGCGUUAGCGGAUUGCAAUGUUCGUAAGAAAGCUAAUUAUGAUAUUAACUUUCAUCACGCCCCUAAAGACAUAAGUGUCCGAGAGCUGAAUAGCUCCUAUGUUACCACAUUUGCUGCACUGUCAAUGUUAGGCUACAAGCUCGCAUGAAGGGGAGUGUGCAGAGUGCCGUCUCCGCCCACAACUCAGAGGCGGAUUGCUAAUGAUCUGCUGAAGCUCUGUAGAAGAAAUCAGCAUCUCCUCAUCCAUGGUGUCAUCAGGGUGAAAUGACGUCUAUAAACCUUUCACUUGUUCGUCUCCGCCCGUUUGCAUGGUGUGAAAUACGAUCCUCCUGAAACACGGAGUGUUUUAUUUUGAAAAGAAGCCGGAUGUUUUAUUUUGUGUCUGUGCUCGACUUCCUUUCCAGCACGGGUUAAUCUGUGCUGAAUUUAUCCGCCAUGCUCCGGCGUCCGGGAAAAAAUAGAACUCUUGUGAUCAGCUGUGGAGUCUGGCGAUCCGCAGAGAAACGGAAAGAAGCCGGUGGAAAUUGACACGUUAACUUGAAUGGUUAUGAUCAGCUAAGAUCGGAGGAUACGGCCUUUUCGUAACCGUUCUGGAUACGGUGGAAAUUGGGGGUAAAAAGUUAUUGGAGAGGGGGGAGGAGUCAGACCAUGAGUGAUAGACAGAUAAAGAAACAGCAGAACUCACAGGAGGAGCAUUUCGUCUGUUUUGACAACUUCUAUGUGUAAAUGAUAAGAUAUAUGAAGAUAUAAGAGGUAUAUCUUUGUCCACAGGGGGCGCCAAAACUACCACAAACUAAGAGUUCCUCAAAGAAGCUUUAAUGGAAGAUCUUAUCAGUUAUUUUUGGAGAGAAUCUCAACCUCAGCAAAAUCAUCUUUUGGUAGCUAAUUACCCGUCUUUUUGUGCAGUUGUUUAGUUUCAAAUUUUCUUCAGUUGUAAACGUUUAAGAUUUCAUAAUCAGGUACUAUAUUUACUGUAAAAUUCAGACAUAUUCUCAGCUGGUUCCUGUUAAACAUGCCCACUCUAAAUCCUCACGUUAAGUGUAAUAACGUUCGGAUGCUGCUAAAUGUUCAAACUCAGACCAAGAAAACAGCUUCACUGCUUUGUUCCCUAAAUCCGUCUGGAAUAAAGUCACAGCUAAAUUAGUAUUCAAAGACAAACUGUGCAGUUUUUGCCUCUAAUGAAGCACAUUUUGUUUUUCCACUCUCGGCUGCCCGAAUGAAAAGCUGCACCGGCACAUAUGCUGAGAUUUGUCUCAACACGGCGAGGGCUCAGGGGCAGAUAUGAGAGCUGAGAUGAGAUUAGGACUGCUGUUGUUUAUUCCACAGCUUAAAAACAGAGCAGAGGAGCCCGUGGCGGAAACACCACAUCACGUCUCCGGUUAAAGUUUAGCUGUGAAUGUGCCCAAAGUGAGACUCUUUUUAUAUUGCGCUGAAGUGCUGCAGGUGAGAAUCACCGAGGACAGCUCCUGCUUUAGGACAUGAUGCUAAUUGUACAGCUUGAUCUUUAGCUGCACAGUGUCAUCUUUCACUCUGCUGCCGUGCUGCUGCAGAUUUAGCAGACAUCUGACAGAAGGGAACAAGCCGAACCAGGGCAAGUGCAGACUUCCCUCUCUGUGUUGCAAUGAUGUGAAAAAUGAAGGAAUCGUUUGGCAUUUUGGUAAAAACGUGUAUUUGCUUCACAGAAUCAGUGCAAUACGAGGGAAACAGCUGGUGUAGUUUCUUAAUUUCAUUUUUUUAAAAUGACUGCAGCUUUGUUGAUAAUUAUAGUUUUAUCAUAUCAAUGCAAAGUCAAACUCUCCCUGAGCACUUAAGAGAAAAAAAAUCAGCAACAAUAUGGUAUCCUCUGUGUCCACAGGGGGCGCCAAAGCAGGAAGCAAAAUACAAUGCGAUUUUUUUAUGCAUUGCGGGGGAGCUAUUGAUUAAUAUUGGCACCAUAAUGUUGUAGUAGUAUGUUGUAGUUGUAGUUUGACUACGAGGAGUCCUUUUGUGUGUUCGGUGAUUUUAGAGUCUCUCUACUGUUUAACAGUGAAACUAUUCAUUUUUGUUUGCAGCGUCUCGCUCUUGUAUUGUAAUUUGCAGACGGUCCCUGCGCACUCGCCCGGCUACCAGCUCCGCAUAGAGAUCAGUCUUACUCAUCCAGCUCGAAGAACGGCUUGAUUUGUGAUUUGUGUUUGGACAUCUUACGUCUCAGAGUUGUCGACCCCAGAACUCAGAAUCUGUGGAUAUCUUUCCAACUUCACAGAACUUUACCACUGCUGCCACAUACAAGCUUUCCGGCGCACGGCACAAAAAAACAAUCCAGAUUUCCGGCACCGUGCCGGAGCUCUUCAAGUCCUGCCAAAGUCAACAGAAAGUCAAUGAUCCUCACAGGAGCUUUAAACAACAAUCAACAGCAGUCUCCUCUGGGAGUCUCUGAGCUCCGUCAUGCCGUAGGUUCCUCUGGGUUGCUGCUGCAGACAUUUUGCUGCUGUGAACAAUCAAUCAAUCAAUCAAUCAAUUUUUAUUUAUAAAGCGCCAAAUCCCAACAGUCAUUAUCCCAAGAUGCUUUCCUAAAAAAAGAGCAGGUCUCGACCGCACUUACUGCAUCAGCCUCCAUCUCUCUCUUUCUUCAUCCCCCUCUCCCUCCUCUCUCAGCAGCGGCAGAUGACUUUCUAACACGAGUCUGGUUCUUCUCGAGGUUUCUGCCUGUUAAAGGAGAGUAUCCGCACUAAAGGACGAUGUUUUUGCACACUGAGUUUAAGAGGUAUGACGUCAAAUUUGACAUUUUAUAGACUUUGACAAAGCGAUAUGAUUUCACAGAUUACCUUUAGUCGUUUAACUUUUUAAAAUUGAUGUUUUGCAAAUGCAUGGACCAAACUGUAGUCAUAAAUUCAGCUCACAUUCAGUUCAUUUCGACAACUACACGACAAUGGCUGUGAAACUGAUGCACCAGUGGCGCUGAAUAUCAGACUAGGAGAAGCUUCUGCAAAUUCAGGGAUCCACUGAAAUCCUCACGCUGAAGUUACAAGUAAGGGAACAUCAUCCAGAGAGCACUUUUGAAUAACUCCUACAUCAACACUAAUCUGAUUUAAGCUGCAGUUUUGCUUUUAUGUCCCGAUCCUACAGGGAAACCAGCUCUUCUACAUGUCUGUGUUGUCAGUGUCUUACGCUCUUACGACAGUGGCACAUGCACAGCAGGCCUACAGCUACACACAUCCAUCCAAGAGGCAAUUAAAAGUAAAAAAGUCACUUAAUCAGCUGUUUUAUUACUAUGUGAUACAAAAAGCAUGUGCAUAUAAAUUGCUGCUUUCAGUAGAGCCGGGCUUCUGCUGACUCGCUCGCCUCUGUCUCAUUCUCAGGAGAUUUACCAUAUAAUGGAAAAGCAGCAGCCAGGCUUUUUUGUUCCCCUCCCAAACCUGAAUUGAAUGGGUCCCAUGAGCUAUCAGCGUAAACUCAGAGGAUAGACUGCUGCGCAAUUUGCCCAUAAAUCACAAAAAGUGCUGUAAUUCUGAGAGGAGGCUUAUGUGGGCUGAAUGUGUGGGCGGGAGGGGAGAGUUGAGCAUUCAGGCUCCGGUUUGCUUCAGUUUACUCUAACAAUAACACAUGAGAGGGUAUUUUUACUGUCACCUACAGCAUCAACACCACACCACCGCUCCCGUGUGUGUCUUAGCCUCGCAGCAUUUCUUUCCCUGUUUGAACUGAUAGGAGCAGCUGAUAGGAAUAUUAAGACGCAGACCAGGCUAAAGGUCCUUUCACACCAGGACCGAUUUUAUAUUUCGGACAUCAAUAUUUUUUUCGAACCCGUAUCCUGUCAAAACAAGCGUUCACAUCAGCGACAUUUUCCCAUCCUGCGAUAUUUUGGCAUUUAUUUUUUCGGAUCACGGUCGAUUUUUCUAAAGUUUUGCAUACUGUGUGUCCACUUCUGACCAAUCAGAUUUCGUGUUGUUGCGACGUCAGAUUCACCGGUAUAUCCAACAUGGCCGACCGGCUGAUUGUUUACGUGUCGGAGAACAGAGUGAUUUUUGAUAAAAGACACAAAUAUUACAAAGAUAACGACUUCUCAUAUGACGAUGGUUCGUGUGUUUUUACAGUUUGCUCAACGUCUUUGCCGUUUUUUGAUUCUUGUAGCCAGUAGUUUGUGCUAUUAGGACAUGAAAGAGGCUUCAUUUGUGUUUGGACAACGUUUCCUCUCAGAGUUAUUGAUCCCGGAAGUCCAAAUCUGUUAACAUCUUUUCAACUUUACUGAACUCAGGGUCCAGAGCUGCAAGAAUCAAACAAACUUCCUCUAAAUCCCCCUGGCAGAUCCCGCUACUUGAGUUGAAUUGUUUCGUGGCCACGCAUACAUUUCUUUUUCUCCACUAGAUGGGGCUCCGUAGACACAAAAAUAAGGAUGUAGAGGGAAAGCUCAAAGAGUGAGAGUGGGAGUGGCUAUGGAUGUUUAUGCAAAUCACUCCUGUCGUGAUGUCAUCACAGGAGCAAAUCCAAAUUUCCCCAUUAGGAGUUAUGUUUUCCCAGAAAUGGUGCCACUAAACCGAUGUAAAGCUCUAUAUUUUUGAGCUGGAGGACGAACAGAUGUUCAGGCAGGAAAAAUGUGAACACCUUUCAGGCUUUUGAAUCCAGGCUUCAACAGAAUAUCAAAAAGAAACCUUUAUUCACCACACAGCGGGGGAAAUUUGAUCCCGGCUGCAAGGAACACGCACUGCAGAUAGAAACGAGACAAGCAAACAGACGGUGGAGAGAUAAUUAUGAAGUGUCGAGUUAGGAAAAAUACAAAAGUGCAAAUGAGCUUGACACCUGCACCUGUGCAUGACAUCUGUUGUGCAACACGAGAGCAAAAUAUCAAAAACGUUUGGUUAUUAAUUUCCACAAAAUACAUCGUAGAUUUACUUAGUUUUAAUGCUUCAUUUCUGCCUCAUUAUAACGACACUGGUCUAGUGGUGCCUUCAUUAAGCUAGCCCAUGCAUCCUCGUGUCCAACCACCUCCUCCGUCUAGAAGAUUUGAGCGGACUAUUAAGGUUUAAGUUUGUCAGUAUCAGCACCUGUUUAUAAUCUCUCUCACCAACUGAGCAAAAAUAACCAAGAACUUGUCAGAAACCCUCCGAGGAAGUCUGAGGUGUUCAGGGUCCAGGUCUUUAACAUGGUCCUGAGGCUAGAACCGUUUUAAUGGUUGUAAUUAGCAGCUAAUUAAACUACAUCAACAGCGCUGGCGGUACACAGUCUCAGCCCUCAGAAGAUGCACGCAGCCGUCGAGGCAGCUGUGCCGGGUACAUUUAUCACUCCGCCUGUGAGCCCAGAGCUGCUUCAGCGACGACAGAGACGGUUCAAGGUGCACCUGUCUGCUCCUUAAGUUAACUGCUCCGCUCAUCAGACACAGUCCCACAGGCCGGCGCCUUUAUGGAGCCUGAAAUAAAGUUAGUUUAUGAGGCCGUUUUCUCUUUAUGUGAAAUAAUCGUGUUGGUGAGGACUCGAAGCAGCCCAGAAUUUUAAUUCAUGGUGUGAACAGCUGCAGUCUGCUCCUCGAGGGUGACUGAAAAUGACCCGCGAACGCUCCAGUCUGCCAGCGAGCGUCAGCUGAUCAGACCACACAGAGGAUUUCUCCCUGAGAGGAGGAGUGACUCACCGAGUCAGCUGUAGUCAGAGUACUACUACUACUACUACUUCAUUUAUAAGGUUUCACACAUUCAUAUUCAGGACGUGUGCCGGAAAGCUCCGCUAACCAGAGGGAUACACUGAAGGUCCAUGUGGUCGUAUUUUAGGCCGUUAGUCGAGUUUAAAUUUAGUGACAAAAAAAAACAACUAAUCGGUUUUAAAUCAUAAUCGGAUUAUUUAACUAUGAUGAUGUUAAAAAAAUUAAAAUCGUCAAAUCAGUUUUCCUCUCUAUCAUGUCUCGCGCCUCCAGGCCACCGUAGGCUCCUCAGUUCCCACACACACCAGUGUAAACAAACAUGGCGUUUGCUAAAGAAGGCAAUAAUUUCGUGGUUAAAUAGAACAAGAGCGAGUCAGUCAUGUUGAAUUGGUACGAUUUCGCAGUUUCAGAUGAAGAGUAAACCACUCCCCGCUGUAAAGUCUGUCUGAAGGCGGUAUCAACCCGUCACCACGGAAACGAAUUCAGGAGUAAAUGUAAAGUUUUUUGUCGUGUCGGCGUUUCAUCCACACAGAAGCGGAGUAAAUCUGUAAACGACGACCAUUUCAUCUCCGUGUGGAUGUCUAUCUGCAUCUCUGGAAACGAUCAUGUGACACACAGCGUUAACUCUUUUAUGGCGCCAAAACAACUUUUAUACUCAUGCUCUGUACUCUUCUUCUGUCUUUUGUGCAUUUCCUGUGCGGCGUUACAGCGCCACUUACUGGCUUGGCAUGUGCGCUACAUCGUUUGCAGCGGUUUUGUUUUGAGAGAUGAUGGAAGAAAUUUCAUGAAAGUGAAAUUUGGUGAAGUUAUCACUGAAUAAAAAAUAAUCACUCAGUCAGGGUCUGCCCAUUGUGUGUUUUUAUCCGAACGAAGUUGACAAAAGAUACCCUGUCAGUGAAGUGGUGAACCCAGCACUAUCCUUAAAAACCUAAUUUCCUCCUGACUGGUGUUUUUAUGUUUCACUCUCACAGUCCCGGCCUUGAGGAAGGUCGUCUAAUUACUCGCAUCACAGCAGGAGGGACGCUGCUGUGUGCAGGAGAUGAGGCUGUCGUCACUCCCAGGAGGAAAUGAUGAGAGAGAGAGAGAGAGGGGGAAAAUAGAUGAUUAUUCUGGCUUUACUCCAUGUUUGUUGCAGCAGAAUCAAAACAACUGGAAUAUUCCUAACAGUGCAAAGAGGCAGGCUGGAAAACUAUGGAAUAUCCCGUAGAGGUUUGAACAGCAGUGCAGAUGACCGGAUGGUCCGGGGGGGGCAUCGACAUGACAUGAUCAAACAUGCGGAAAAAUCUUUGAAGAAGGUCGGAGAAAAGGCAGAGAAAGGGAGGAAGGGGGCUAACACCGCUAUACAGGCAGCUGCAGGGGAUGGCAAGGAGACUGGAAGACCUACUGGUUUAUUCCCAGCUGAUGACCCUGCAGCUCGCCUAGAGAAGGUGCGAAGUGCCGUAACAGGAAACAACACCUGACCCGUUAACAGAGUCAUUGCAUGUGUGUAUUUCUCAACCAAGGAUGUGUAUUUGGAGCGUGGCGGCAGCGUCGCAUAUCAUGCAGCAAAUAGUUUGUCAUUCUGAUCAAUGCAGCAAAGCGUACAGGACGCAUAUCAGCUCCGUCACAGCAUCGUAUCGAGAGCAGCACUGCUAAAGAUUCGCGGUGAGUCUAUUUUUGCUAUUCUACACUUCCAAUACACGUCAAUCCACCCAGAGAAGAUCGUUCUAGACAGGAGGUCAAGCACGAAAAACAUGCACGUCAUCUGGUAUUUCAAAAUAUUGAGUUUAAGUUUAAACACAUAGCACUUCCUUAAAUAUGUGGUUACUAUGCAGACCACAUACUUGGUGACUGGCCUGCAGAGCGGCAUCGCAUUUCCUGCAUUUCUACAUUUCCAGAAAUGCAGUUGGUCCAUCUAUAUGUUGUUCAAAAGAUGCAUGUAAUGGAUGCAAGGUAGUUAAGAAAACUUGUACAGAAGAAGAACAGAGGACUAAGGCUGCGUUCCAGUUACCUCGGAAGUCCGGGCUGGGAGUGAUGUUGAUAGCACACACAAACCUCAUCUACUAACUGGGUACACUGAGGAUUGCGUCUGUCAAAUGAGCAAAACAGCGUGCGCAAUCGAUUUAGCGUGUUUGCCUUCAUGAAUAUGCAGAAUGUAUGAAGAUCAUCAGAACGCGCAAAACUCUGGAAGGAGCAGAGAUUUCUAGUAUAUCUUCUUGCAUCUGUAAAGCACUUUGAAGACCCUACACCGGACCGGAAAUGAGUAACGUGAGUUAAGACGCGGAAGCACGAAUCGGCGGGGAGGCGGGUAGUUGAAAACGUUUUUCUGGUCAGAGUUUGAUUCGUGAUAAAUACGUGGAAUAUUACUGAGGUUAAUGUUACUGAGAAGUCUUUGAAGGCUCAAAAACAGCCAUUUGUUAAAAAAUAAGUAAAUAUGUUGAUAUAUUACUUAAAUUUAGAACAUUUUAAAACUUUUAAAAAAAUUUAAAAAUUGGCUGAUUAACCAGUAAUCAGAUUUUUUUCCUCCCUAACAAACGGUAUCGGCAUCGGCCCUAAAAUUUCCAUAUCGGUCAUGCCCUACUCUAUACUGAGCCCAGCUGACCGGGGCAGCACUACGCUGCAAAUACGCUGCAAAUACGCUGAUCCUGUGUGCGAUACCCAGGACUGCUCUACGGAGCAAAUACGAACACACUAAAUACGGAUCCUGUAUGUUUUCCGCUUUGCUCCUUCCACCCUUCUGCAAGUUAGACUACAUCAUAGUCCUUCUGACUGUCAGGUCAGUAAAUCUCCCAUGAUGCUUUGAAACCCUGAAGCAGGACUGCUGGGGUGCGUGCAGGCUCAGUUACAAUGACAAAAGGCCGAAUCUGCAGCUGUUCUCCUGAAACCAGCCAACAGCCUCGGAGUGUCUCCCUCCAACUCUCCAGUUUUGCCGCGAGCCCCUUUCAGAACACAUCACAUCCCUUUGUGUCAGAGCUGCUGGACUCGGCUCUCCAGAGUCUGUCUGUUGUGCUGCCGUCGCCCUGAAGGCUGUACACACUGUGUGUUUCCUCAGGGUGGGUCCAAGUUUAUUUAGACCCUCCCCGACACUCUGAGCCAGGAAACCUCCAGGGCUGCUGACCGACCCGUCACCGCACACACUCUCUAAACUGGACAGAGACUAGAGAGAAGACUCCGGCUCAUUUCUGUGAGCUGGAUGAUUGGACUCGGAGACGAGAGGCUGCUCUUUUGGCUCUUCUCCUCACUCAGUCCACAGGCAAAGGCCACAACAGUGAACAGGUUCUGAUUUAACCGUUCAUGCCCCAAUUAUCCUCAGAAUGAUGCUGCUGAGCUCUCAGUCAUCACAGUUCCUGCUGACGGUGUUCAGCCUGACAGACCCCCUCAGGGUUUUACUGGAGGACAGAGAGAUGACAAAAAAAGAGAGAAAAUAGGAGGACGGAGAGGUGCAAAAUGUGACAAACUAAAUAGGAAGUACGAGAGUGGAGGCGCUACGAUGUUCCUGCAUGCAUACACUUGUUUGCAAGCUUUAAGGCUUGUUUUUGCUUCACUGUCAAGGUCACAUAGUGUACUCUGUUAUAUUUUUACACCUCAGGUUUGUAAUAAAUCUGGGCUAUAAAACUAAACAUCACCAGAAACCUUCUCGACGGUUUCUAUUUCAGUCUGUAAACCUCGUCUGAACCUGGAGCUUCCUCCUCUGAGCUCUUACUAGAUUUCCUCCACUUCCUAAUGAGUCUCAGAUUCACCCUCAGAGCAGUUACAUGUUGCAGCGUAUCAUCCAUAAAUCAUCAGCUCAUUCGUUUUUACAUAUUAUUAAAGAAUGCAGAUUUGUAAGUGAUUGCUUUGAUCAGCGGUUAAUUACGAGAGUGAGGGAGUGAGCGUUGAGGGAAUUUCCUUCGUAUCCAAACGAGUAAAAGUGUCGUUUGUCUUCCCGAUGAAACACACACAAACUUCUCUGUCGACAUGAUGUAACAGAAAAUAAAUCAACUUUCUUUCUCCUUCAUUUAUAGACCAACAGCAUGAAGACGAACUCCAGAGGAACACCAGUGGGUGACGGUCCAGUUUCUCAGCAGGACUCUUCUCCUACAGAGCCACGCUGUUGUCAGAAUGUGGUUGAGGAUCAUAUGAAGAUCUUCCCUGAAGAAGUCUUUGACUGGAUGGCAGUAGAUGUUGCUCCCAAACCUGGAGAUAUUGUUUAAAACUGAGGAUGCAGCAUCUAUGAUUUCUAGU